Molecule: long non-coding RNA, 305 nt
Organism: Plodia interpunctella (Indianmeal moth)
Lineage: Eukaryota; Metazoa; Arthropoda; Insecta; Lepidoptera; Pyralidae
Exons: 3
Source: RefSeq, a predicted model, not a curated record
GAGCAGCCAAUCCUUUUGAAAUUAGGAUUAACUUUUCUAACGUGUUUUAUAUAACAUAAUUGGAGAUGUAGAGAAUUUCCGAAAAAAAUGCUGGGAGCGGUCAAUUGGCAGAGCUCUGUGCAGAACAGAAGAUUAUACAUAUAGAUCCACUUUGGGGUCACUGCGCCACCGUAGUAGUGACAUUCGGUGGUGUUACAUUGUCAUCGGCUGCAGCGGUAGCGUCAGCGAUGGCGGGCGCUUCGCUCACGCGUCUGCGAGUGAGCGAGCGGACAGGCUCUCGUCAUGUGUUGCAGUCUAUGCGAGCG